This 433-nucleotide ribosomal RNA is filed under the name uncultured bacterium. RNAcentral's name for it is "partial 16S ribosomal RNA". It matches the Rfam family "Bacterial small subunit ribosomal RNA", at positions 29 to 507 of the family's 1533-position model. The record is from RNAcentral.
AACGAACGCUGGCGGCAGGCCUAACACAUGCAAGUCGAGCGAGCAUUUCGGUGCUAGCGGCGGACGGGUGAGUAACGCGUGGGAACGUGCCCUUUUCUGCGGAAUAGUCCUGGGAAACUGGGGGUAAUACCGCAUACGCCCUUUUGGGGAAAGAUUUAUCGGAGAAGGAUCGGCCCGCGUUGGAUUAGGUAGUUGGUGGGGUAAUGGCCCACCAAGCCGACGAUCCAUAGCUGGUUUGAGAGGAUGAUCAGCCACACUGGGACUGAGACACGGCCCAGACUCCUACGGGAGGCAGCAGUGGGGAAUCGUAGACAAUGGGGGCAACCCUGAUCGAGCCAUGCCGCGUGAGUGAUGAAGGCCUUAGGGUUGUAAAGCUCUUUCAGCUGGGAAGAUAAUGACGGUACCAGCAGAAGAAGCCCCGGCUAACUCCGUG